AAUAAUCAUACCUUUAUACCUAGGAUGACCAUUGUUCAUUUUUUGAUAUAUUUGAAAUUGUACCUACAGCAUGUGUUUUGUUACAUUAAAUUGAUAAUAAUUGUAGUACUUCAACAAUGGUUCUAGUCAAGUUAGAGUUGAACCUUCAAAUGGCAUUUAGAAGUGAUAAAGGAGAAAGAUAAUACCCUGAAACAUUGUCUUCCUUAUAUAAAAGAAGUCGAUACCACAAAUUCUCUCCUUAAAGAUUAUGCACUGGUACAAUACUGACAAUAUGGAUAACAGCUUCUUUUAUUUCGAGGGUGUGACUUAAUGUCUGCUUGACAAUGGUACAAGAAUCUGUAUCGAAAUGUGGCACUCGUGAAAUAAAUUCCUGUUUGACAAUGGUACAAGAAUCUGUAUCGAAACGUGGCACUCGUGAAAUAAAUUCGUGUUUGACAAUGGUACAAGAAUCUGUAUCGAAAUGUGGCAAUCGUGAAAUAAAUUCCUAUUUGACAGUGGUAA
This is a long non-coding RNA of Haliotis rubra (blacklip abalone), 501 nucleotides long. RefSeq lists it as uncharacterized. The record is from RefSeq and is a predicted model, not a curated record. NCBI's taxonomy places the organism in Eukaryota, Metazoa, Mollusca, Gastropoda, Lepetellida, Haliotidae. The transcript has 2 exons.